This 544-nucleotide ribosomal RNA is filed under the name uncultured Glomeromycotina. RNAcentral's name for it is "SSU rRNA". It matches the Rfam family "Eukaryotic small subunit ribosomal RNA", at positions 548 to 1098 of the family's 1831-position model. Lineage: Eukaryota; Fungi; Glomeromycota. The record is from RNAcentral.
UUGGAGGGCAAGUCUGGUGCCAGCAGCCGCGGUAAUUCCAGCUCCAAUAGCGUAUAUUAAAGUUGUUGCAGUUAAAAAGCUCGUAGUUGAAUUUCGGGGUUCUACCGUUGGUCGGGCUUUGUCUGUACUGGUGUGUAGAAUUUCUACCUUCUGGGGAACCAUCAUGCUAUUAAUUUAGCGUGGUGGGAAACCAGGACCUUUACCUUGGAAAAAUUAGUGUGUUCAAAGCAGGCUUAUGUCUGAAUACAUUAGCGUGGAAUAAUAGAAUAGGACGGUGGUCCUGUUUUGUUGGUUUCUGAAUCACCGUAAUGAUUAAUAGGGAUAGUUGGGGGCAUUAGUAUUCAAUUGUCAGAGGUGAAAUUCUUGGAUUUAUUGAAGACUAACUUCUGCGAAAGCAUUUGCCAAGGAUGUUUUCAUUAAUCAAGAACGAAAGUUAGGGGAUCGAAGACGAUCAGAUACCGUCGUAGUCUUAACCAUAAACUAUGCCGACUAGGGAUCGGACGAUGUUAAUUUUUCGUGACUCGUUCGGCGCCUUACGGGAAAC